AAACAGCUCUUGACCCCAUCAUGAAAACAUACCCAAAUGUGUUUUUUUGAUCAUCUAAAUCUCCUGCAUAAUCACUAUCUGUAAAGCCAAAUAGAUCUGACUUUUCUCCAGUCUUGAAGGGCAACCUAAACUCCUUAGUACCUUGCAAAUACCAAAAAAUUCUUUUUGCAGCCAAGAGAUGAAUCUCUAUAGGACAUUCCAUGUACUUGCUAAUUACACUUACAGCAUAGAUUAUAUCAGGUCUUGUUGCUGUCAAAUACAUUAAACUUCCCACUAUCUGCUUGUAAAGAGUGUGGUCGACCUUCUUUCCUCCAAUAUCUUUGUUUAGCUUCACACCAAACUCAGAUGGAGUAUAUACAGGAUUGCAAUCCUUCAUCUGAAACCUAUCCAAGAUUUCUCGCACAUACUUCUUUUGAGAAAUAAAAAUUCCUACAGAGUAUUGCACCACUUCAAUGCCAAGAAAGUAAUGCAUCAUUCCAAGAUCAGACAUCUCAAAUUCAGCCAUCAUGGAUUUCUUAAAACUUUCAAACAUGGUUGUAUCAUUUCCAGUAUAGAUUAAAUCAUCUACAUAUAAGCAAACAAUGAGCAUUUUCCCUCCAUCUUUAAUCUUUAUGAAAAGUGUAUGUUCAUAAGAACAUUUUUGAAAUCCUUUCUUCAAAAAAUAAGUUUCUAUAUGAUUAUAUCAAGCCCGUGGAGCUUGUUUUAAUCCAUAUAGAGCUUUUUUUAACUUAUACACUUUAUGCUCAUUGCCAAGUUUCACAUAACCAGGAGGUUGAUCAAUAAAUACCUCUUCUUUCAAAUCUCCUUGGAAAAAUGCUGAUUUUACAUCUAAGUGGGAGAUAGGCCAUGAGUUUUGAGCUGCCAUAGUAAUCAUCAAUCAAAUCGUGUCAUGCCUUGCAACCAGAGGAAAGACUUCUUUAUAAUCGACACCAAACUCCUGCUUGUAGCCCUUAGCCACCAAGUUUGCCUUGUGCUUGUCAACCUCACAUUCUCUUUUGACUUUGUUUUGUACACCCAUUUGGAAGAUCGAUCAGCUCCCAAGUGUUAUUCUUUUCUAUGACUACAAUCUCUUAAUCCAUAGCCUUCCACCACUUCAGUUGUUUGGAAGCAUCAAUAAAGGUUACAGGAUCACAAUCUGAGAAAAGGGCAAAGUGUAUAGGUGGAUCCUCAGAAUGAUCAGUACUCAUUACCUCAUAAUCAGUCAUCCAUGCAGAUCGCUUUCUGAACCUUUUUGAUCUAGAAUAUGUAGAUACCGUAGGUGGACUUUGAGUUACUGGUACUGGUUCAUCUUGUUCAUCCACUGGUUGUUGUGAGUUUGCCAUAGGUUGGGUUUCUUCUUCUACAUAAAAAUUCGCAGGAAUUUGUUGUUAAACUCCAUCUCUAUUCCACUCCCAAAAUCUUUCUUCAUCUAAUGUAACAUCUCAACUAAUUACAAUCUUUUCUGUGGUUGGAUUAUACAACUUGUAUGCUUUGGACUGAUUGCUUACUCCGAGAAAAAUGCACUUUUUCACCAUGUUAGCUAGUUUUUUCUUCUUCUCAUCUGGUAUGUGGGCAUAAGCAAUACAUCUGAAGAUUCUGAAGGGCCCAACAGUUGGUCUUCUUCCACUCCAUGCCUCUUCUGGUGUUUUAUUCUGAACUACUAGAGCAGUGCUUCUGUUUAAAUUGUGGAUGCUCCAAUUUAUUGCUUCAGGCUAGAAACUCUUUGGAACUCGACUUCCUACCAACAAACUUCUCACCAUAUUCAUGAUUGUGCGAUUUUUUCUCUCGCACACCCCAUUUUGUUGUGGGGUAUAAGUUGUUGUUAGUUGUCAUCUAAUGCCA
RNAcentral lists this long non-coding RNA (1821 nucleotides) under Olea europaea subsp. europaea. Lineage: Eukaryota; Viridiplantae; Streptophyta; Magnoliopsida; Lamiales; Oleaceae. The record is from RNAcentral.